Molecule: ribosomal RNA, 207 nt
Filed under: uncultured bacterium
Lineage: Bacteria
Description: partial 16S ribosomal RNA
Rfam family: Bacterial small subunit ribosomal RNA
Source: RNAcentral
CUCGUAGGUGGUUUGUCGCGUUGUUCGUGAAAUCUCACAACUCAAUUGUGAGCGUGCGGGCGAUACGGGCAGACUGGAGUACUGCAGGGGAGACUGGAAUUCCUGGUGUAGCGGUGGAAUGCGCAGAUAUCAGGAGGAACACCGGUGGCGAAGGCGGGUCUCUGGGCAGUAACUGACGCUGAGGAGCGAAAGCGUGGGGAGCGAACA